AUGAUGCUUGGUGCUUGCACUGGGUGGAUUAGUGGCGAACGGGUGAGUAAUACGUGAGUAACCUGCCCCUGUCUUUGGGAUAAGCCUGGGAAACUGGGUCUAAUACUGGAUAUUCUGCUUGAACCGCAUGGUUUUGUUGGAAAGAUUUUUUGGAUGGGGAUGGGCUCACGGCCUAUCAGCUUGUUGGUGGGGUGAUGGCCUACCAAGGCGUCGACGGGUAGCCGGCCUGAGAGGGUGACCGGCCACAUUGGGACUGAGAUACGGCCCAGACUCC
Molecule: ribosomal RNA, 274 nt
Filed under: uncultured Arcanobacterium sp.
Lineage: Bacteria; Bacillati; Actinomycetota; Actinomycetes; Actinomycetales; Actinomycetaceae
Description: partial 16S ribosomal RNA
Rfam family: Bacterial small subunit ribosomal RNA
Source: RNAcentral